Molecule: long non-coding RNA, 520 nt
Filed under: Pongo abelii (Sumatran orangutan)
Lineage: Eukaryota; Metazoa; Chordata; Mammalia; Primates; Hominidae
Description: lincRNA
Source: RNAcentral
AGGUACUGAGAGAGGACGAAGGCUUCACGAAUGUGUUUGAAACCAAGACUUGAUAGGAAUUUUACUUUAACAGAAGAUAGUGGUGAGGGCUUGAACACUAAGGAAUUAAUGAGAGAUCAGCCCCUUUAGCAACUCAAAGCAUAUUAUAACUCCAGCUGGUCAAAAAGAGAGGAAAUAAAUAAUAUAACAGGAACAACUGCAAGAGCAAGUGCAGCAUCAGGUUGGUGCAUUUCUUUUGAUCAAAAGGUCGAAUUGCAACUGGUCUUUGAAGAGUGUGCUGGUGACAGUGUGCAACCUUUGCGGUAGCUCCUGGACUGGCACUAGACUGCUGUCAAAUUAAACCAGCGCUGUAAAGAAGAAAGCAAGUACCCUAAAGUUGAAUGAAGGGGCAUCUUAAUUCCAAUCCUGGCUCUAAUGCUGACUGUAAGUAUGACCCUGGAUGAGUUAUUCACUCUCUCAGUCUCAGUCUCCUCAUCCACAAAGCAGGGAUCACAAUAAAUGAAUAGCACCUUUCACAGAA